GUAAAUUUAAAUGCAGUCCAGAGUAGUGAAGGCCGUUUGUAAGGUCUGCUGAGCUAAUGGAUUCAUAAUGACUUUUAAAGCUUCACUCGGUACAUCCUAUGUGCCAGACACUGCGAUAGGUUCUGGAGAUAACAACAGUGUCCAAGAAACAACAGUGUCCAAGAAACAGGACUUUCCCUCAAAGAGCUUACUGGGGAAGCCAGCAAGACCAGCAGACAAACACAGCUGCACUGGGGGAGAGCCUGCUGAAGCUGCUUGAAUCUCAACACUGUCAUACCCGCCAUCUCAUUAUCUACAGCCACAUCUAAAACCCACAUGAAAUACCAAGUCACACGCGGCUCUGGGAAAGACAUUUUACAGAGACCAUCUUAUGAGUUUUUAAUCUGCCUCCUGAGAACUUACAAUCUAAGAAAUAGAAAACUGAUUCCAGUAAGCAUGCCCAGAAUAUGCUAGCAGCAAGAUUAAAACAUGAAACUAUGAAUGUUAAGAUAUUCAUAUGUAUUCUUGGGCAAGAUUUCUUUCCCUGGGCUAGAUGUCCCAAGGACCACACUCCUCUGUCCCUUUCAAAGAAAAGACAGACCUCACUGGGAAGUCCUGGAUUGUGUCCACUGCUGCUGUCACCGGAGUCUGACCCCAGCCCUGCCCAUCUCCAGGGAUCGCAGAACCUGCCAGCCAACUUCCUUUGAGUCAGCCGGUCAGGGCUGCAUCUUAGAAGCCAAGCUGCUUUGGUGUGAUUUCUGAAGUCUGUGCAUUUGCCUUAACUGUCAGGCCACUGGCUUCCCUGAGACUGGCUUCUGCCGUUUGCUCCCUGACAGUGAUAGUGAUAGCAGGACAGACUAACAGUCGGAGCACCCUGUGCAUCUCUUUCCAAGGAAUCCAUCCAUGGCAGGGACUGUGGAGCGCUCUCAAAGACAGCCACUUUGCAGGCAUUUAGUAGGACAUGGGCUCACCUCUUGCCUCCUCUUCUGCCUUUCCUUCCAGCUCCUUGCCCUUUACAAUAGCUGAAGAUUUUUUUAAGUGGAGCUGCUGAUAAUUAAAAUUAUAUCUUUUUUCCACCAAUGUCUGAAACUCUGGGAAGUCAUUAUCAGAGUCAGACAGUGAUAUUUUGAUAUCCCAGGAUCUUUUUGAUAUAAGGAAUAAAGUUCUAAGGCAUGAGAAGAUAGAGAGCCAUGCUAUUUCCUAAUCACCCUUUAUAAUUUGCAGUAUCUUGGGACGCUUCUCAGAUGUUUCCACUGUGGCUUAUGUACACUUCAAACCCAUGUGCCAUUAAAUGCAGAAGCUAGGUACUGAAUUAAUAAAGGUAGCUUCAAAAGCCCACCUCUUUGGCAGGCUGAAGAUCUAAGGGCAAACUCAAAGAGGGUGAUGGGCCUUUGAAAAUUACUAAGCACAAACAAUAAACCUCAUUAAAUAAAGGCAGCAGAGUGGGCUCAGAAAUGUAAUGAACCAAGCGGGGGACCAACAGCACUGGAAUCAGCCUGGGAAUUAACAUAUCAGGGAGCUGAGGCUCAGGUUGAAAGAAGGGAUUGUGUUUUGGAAAAUCAUGUGACUCCUAUUGAAACAAUGCUGAGGACAGUGGUUGGGAGGAUGCUGGGGCAGCGCUGGGCACAGGCAGGCCGCUGUGGUGCUGGGACUGGGGGACGCUCAUGUUUGCAGUCGUCUACUCUCUCACUCACCCUAGUGGCUUCAGUAGAGUCUACAGAAGGCAGAGUAUUUGGGCAGGGCCUGUAAAGAAAGAGAAAAGCUGAUAGAAGCUGCUUGGCCAUCGAAAUGAACUCCUUUUGCCAGGAUGUGCAGCCACGGGACUCCCACAGCACCCCUCCAGGUGCCUUCUGUCCACAGCCAGGGAGCAGAAAACUGGAGGGAUUUGGUCACCAUUAAAUGGCAAAGUGCUUGAUGAGAUCCUGUUGAAAAUUGAGCAGCAGAUUGGACAAUUAGAGUGCCAGACCAGCACGUGGAGUUUUCAGAAAUAGAUGGGAGUUGCUGGAUAAUAGGUCACAUUAGGCCACCACAGGAGCACGCAGGACUGCUCAGUCUCUGAGCCCCAAGCUCUUCCCUCUAGACUCUGGCAUGGCCAGUACAAGCCCUUUCUCGGCUAUUGUUGCUGGUCAGGGCUGACUGUCUUAGGUAUGAGGCACUCUCGGAAGGCUGCUCAGGAAGAAGACCCUUUCUCUUUCAUGAACCUGCCGGGAGCCAGAAACCAUUCUCCUCCCACUUUCACCCCUCAGCUCUAUCCCCACCUCCCCAAUAAUUUUAUCUUCAUUUUAACUCAAGAAUUUAACUACAGAGAUUGCACUGACCCAUCCCCCUAGAAUGAAAGGACACAAGAUCCUCCACCAGAUAGUUAUUUGUGAUUGUGGCUGGGGGUUUAUUUAAACUAAUUUUAUUAUUCAUGACACUGACAAUUUAUGCAGUGAAUGCAAUUAGAGGCUAUGAUUGGCUGCCACAGCUAAGGGCUAAAAGUGCCACUUCCUUGGAUAUGCAAGGAAGAAAGGCGAAGAAUGUUAGAAAAAUAAUCAGUCACGGAGAUAUUUUUUAUGAAGUGAUUCCCACAAACCUUGAUUUUUAAAAAAAGCUAAUUUAAUUUCCCUAACACCCUGCAAAAGAUAUCUAAUUAUCCACUCUUAAAUUGCUCUCAUAAUUUUUCCAAAGUUCUCUAUUGUUUAUGCCUUUGUGAGUUCUCCUUGUCUACAAGCAAAGAAGCUGUCGUCUCAAUGUGCAGGUUCCAAUAAAACGUACUGAAACUGAUUCUUCCCGAAGCUGUGCAUAGAAGCCCUGAUGUGGCCUGUAAUAUAUUUGUCCAUUUAACCAGGAAAUAUUUGAGAAACAAGACUUGAGUGGUAAUCAUUUAGAGUUCUGGGAGGAGAAGAGGGAAUUGACUUUUUUUCUUCUCCUUUUUUUUUCCAAGAAGAACAAUUUUUAAAAAAUCAUUGGACAUCAAACCAAAACAAAUCAUGGUGCCUCCACACAAUGGGAUAUUCCUCAGCAGUAGAAAGGAAUGGACUACUGAUCACGCAGUAAUGAUGACGAAUGUCAAUGUAAUUAUGCCAAGUGAAAGAAGCCAGCCAAAAGGUUCAUAUUAUGUGAUUUUAUUUAUAUGAAGUAUUUUUUAAAAAGGCAAACUAGUCUUUCAAGACAAAAAGCAGAUCCCUGGGUACU
Molecule: long non-coding RNA, 3156 nt
Filed under: Homo sapiens (human)
Lineage: Eukaryota; Metazoa; Chordata; Mammalia; Primates; Hominidae
Description: HSALNT0365627
Source: RNAcentral